Molecule: ribosomal RNA, 253 nt
Filed under: uncultured bacterium
Lineage: Bacteria
Description: partial 16S ribosomal RNA
Rfam family: Bacterial small subunit ribosomal RNA
Source: RNAcentral
UACGUAGGGUGCAAGCGUUGUCCGGAAUUAUUGGGCGUGAAGAGCUCGUAGGCGGUCUGUCGCGUCUGCUGUGAAAACUCGGGGCUUAACCCCGGGCCUGCAGUGGGUACGGGCAGACUAGAGUGCGGUAGGGGAGACUGGAAUUCCUGGUGUAGCGGUGAAAUGCGCAGAUAUCAGGAGGAACACCGGUGGCGAAGGCGGGUCUCUGGGCCGUAACUGACGCUGAGGAGCGAAAGCAUGGGGAGCGAACAGG